Molecule: ribosomal RNA, 497 nt
Filed under: uncultured bacterium
Lineage: Bacteria
Description: partial 16S ribosomal RNA
Rfam family: Bacterial small subunit ribosomal RNA
Source: RNAcentral
GACGAACGCUGGCGGCGUGCCUAAUACAUGCCAGUUGAGCGCUGAAGGUUGGUACUUGUACCAACUGGAUGAGCAGCGAACGGGUGAGUAACGCGUGGGGAAUCUGCCUUUGAGCGGGGGACAACAUUUGGAAACGAAUGCUAAUACCGCAUAAAAACUUUAAACACAAGUUUUAAGUUUGAAAGAUGCAAUUGCAUCACUCAAAGAUGAUCCCGCGUUGUAUUAGCUAGUUGGUGAGGUAAAGGCUCACCAAGGCGAUGAUACAUAGCCGACCUGAGAGGGUGAUCGGCCACAUUGGGACUGAGACACGGCCCAAACUCCUACGGGAGGCAGCAGUAGGGAAUCUUCGGAAAUGGACGAAAGUCUGACCGAGCAACGCCGCGUGAGUGGAGAAGGGUUUCGGAUCGUAAAACUCUGUUGGUAGAGAAGAACGUUGGUGAGAGUGGAAAGCUCAUCAAGUGACGGUAACUACCCAGAAAGGGACGGCUAACUACGUG